Coregonus clupeaformis (lake whitefish) is the source of this 504-nucleotide long non-coding RNA. RefSeq lists it as uncharacterized. Lineage: Eukaryota; Metazoa; Chordata; Actinopteri; Salmoniformes; Salmonidae. The transcript is spliced from 2 exons. The record is from RefSeq and is a predicted model, not a curated record.
CCUUUAAGGGAUAAAGGUUGAUCUGACUCUGGGGAAAUAGAGUCAGGCCUGAAGUGUCCCUUUAAGGGUUAAAGGUUGAUCUGACUCUGGGGAAAUAGAGUCAAGGCCUGAAGUGUCCCUUUAAGGGUUAAAGGUUGAUCUGACUCUGGGGAAAUAGAGUCAGGCCUGAAGUGUCCCUUUAAGGGUUAAAGGUUGAUCUGACUCUGGGGAAAUAGAGUCAAGGCCUGAAGUGUCCCUUUAAGGGUUAAAGGUUGAUCUGACUCUGGGGAAAUAGAGUCAGGCCUGAAGUGUCCCUUUAAGGGUUAAAGGUUGAUCUGACUCUGGGGAAAUAGAGUCAAGGCCUGAAGUGUCCCUUUAAGGGUUAAAGGUUGAUCUGACUCUGGGGAAAUAGAGUCAAGGCCUGAAGUGUCCCUUUAAGGGUUAAUAAAUUACUUUAAUCAAGAGGUUUAUACUGUACAUUACAUCUGUCACCAAAUUGAAAUAAAAGGCAUCGGACUGAGGUCA